UGAUUCCUGCGAUGUUCGUCAGGACGGUCACUUGUUUUGAACCGAUAAGUGUUUUCGGGGAGACAGAACUCGCUGCGGAUGUCAUGCCCACCUCCUUCGGGACGCAUGGGACGGCAGCAAGCAGUGACGAGUCACCCACCUGCGAGAGCGGGUUCAGAAAACAAUCCGAUUCCGACGGCAUAGGCGGGGUACAU
Molecule: non-coding RNA, 194 nt
Filed under: Effusibacillus lacus
Lineage: Bacteria; Bacillati; Bacillota; Bacilli; Caryophanales; Alicyclobacillaceae
Description: 6S / SsrS RNA
Rfam family: 6S / SsrS RNA
About the family: E. coli 6S RNA was the first non coding RNA to be sequenced, but its function was unknown until recently.
Source: Rfam by way of RNAcentral